CAGCAGCCGCGGUAAUACGUAGGGUGCAAGCGUUAAUCGGAAUUACUGGGCGUAAAGCGUGCGCAGGCGGUUUUGUAAGACAGAGGUGAAAUCCCCGGGCUCAACCUGGGAACUGCCUUUGUGACUGCAAGGCUAUAGUACGGCAGAGGGGGAUGGAAUUCCGCGUGUAGCAGUGAAAUGCGUAGAUAUGCGGAGGAACACCGAUGGCGAAGGCAAUCCCCUGGGCCUGUACUGACGCUCAUGCACGAAAGCGUGGGGAGCAAACAGGAUUAGAUACCCGCGUAGUCCCUGUCUCUUAUAC
This 301-nucleotide ribosomal RNA is filed under the name uncultured bacterium. RNAcentral's name for it is "partial 16S ribosomal RNA". It matches the Rfam family "Bacterial small subunit ribosomal RNA", at positions 509 to 807 of the family's 1533-position model. The record is from RNAcentral.